This 1647-nucleotide long non-coding RNA is filed under the name Panax ginseng (ginseng). RNAcentral describes it as "long non-coding RNA (PGIN_LNC018692)". Lineage: Eukaryota; Viridiplantae; Streptophyta; Magnoliopsida; Apiales; Araliaceae. The record is from RNAcentral.
GUGUGUAAAAAAAAGUAUUUUAUUUUGUUAUUAUAUUUUUUUAAUAUAUUAAAGAGUAAAAUGGUAACACUACUUUUUUUUAAUAUAUUCAGACUAAUUAAAAAAUAUCAAAAAAUUAUAAAACCAUCGAAAUCAAUCCCAAAAUCAAUUGAUCCAAAAAAGACCCUUUCAUUCCAGCGAAGGAUUGCGAUCUGUGAAAAAAGCCCCAAAAAAUUGCUCAACCCCAAUACAUUCAUUAUGUUUGGGUCGUUGAUUUGUAGCGAUCUGGUUUUUCGGUGGGUUUAGGGUUGUUGUAGGUGUCUAAUACCUCCUCCCUUUUCUAUCGCCGGUGUGUCGGAUAACAUUCUUUCGAUCUUCUAGUGUCUGCUAUGUUCUAUUCAGAUGAAUUGGGGCUGUGGGUAAAAUUUAUUUUAGCUGUAUUAGGACCCUUGUUCAUUCGUGGAUCUGUUCUCGUUUUUUUUAUCAGAUUUGACUCCACGAUCUGGUUGGAUAAUGGGUGUUUGUGCUAUCACCGGAAUCUGAUUCGAACUACCAUCAUCUCUUACCUCCAACAUCGCCGUUAGGCCCACCCAUCCUCUGUUCGAGCUUGAAUCUGAUAGGUGGUGAUUUUGGUUGCUCUGGUUUGGUGGUUGGUUGUUGUAGUUGAUUGAUUUGGUGUAACAUUAAAUGCAUAUAGAUCGCAUAGGUAUCAGUUCCAUGUAGAAACCAUUUUUUGGGUGUUUAGACCACGGGGGAGAGAGAUUGCAAAAUUUCUAGAGAGAGAAAGAGGGGUUUGGGAGAGAGAAAAAUAGGGAGAGAGAUGCUUGCAAGUCUUUACUCGCUCUGAUUUUUAGCUGGAAGGGAUAACCCAUGUAGAAACCAUUUUCAGGUAUGGAUGCUUGCAAGUCUUCACCUUCUUCGCCUAGUUCCCCUCCAUCCAGAUUGAAAAGAGCCAACUCCAAGGGUCACAAUGUAUCUUUCAAGAACUGACAUGGAUUAUGUAUGAAUUAGCUCUAUGUUUCUCUGUUUGUAUAUGAAACCUCUUUACUCACUCUGAUUUUUAGCUAGAAGGGAUAACCCAUUUAAAUUGUUAAAGUUAAUUGCUUAUUUUUUCCUUUCUUGUAUGUAUAUAUGGGGUUGAGAUCCUACAUACAGGAGAUAGGAUUGUUGAAGCUUGAUGCUCUGAUCUCGCUUGUCCUGAACCCACCAAAAUCAAGAAUGACCUCUUUUUAAGUUUAGAGUACUGAUGGAGCAUUUUAGGGUGAUUUGCUUUUCUCAGACCUUCUUCGCGGGAUCGUUGAGCAAUUUGUGAUUCUUAAAGUUAGGGUUUUUUCGAUCUGACUUUGAGGCUUGCUUUCUCAGAAGUCAGACCUUCUUUACUUUUGAUCGAUUGUUGUUGUUUUUGAAGCUUUUGAUUUGUUUAAUUUUAAUUAAUGUAUGUGUUGUGACUAUUUUACCCUCUAUUAUAUCAAAAUUAUUUAAUUAAUAAAUAAAAUAUUAAUUUCUCAUUACAACUCAGUCGACUAAGGCCCCACACAAUUAGUCACGUCAGCAAUUUCUGACGUGACAUAUUUAAUUUGUUGCAAUUGGAAAAAAAUGAUAGUUUAAUCAUCUAAUUGACAAAAUUGAAAGGUGGAUCACCGAAGUGGAAUAUGACCAAUAGUUUAG